RNAcentral lists this long non-coding RNA (367 nucleotides) under Oncorhynchus mykiss (rainbow trout). RNAcentral describes it as "lncRNA (ENSOMYG00000058855.1)". The record is from RNAcentral. Lineage: Eukaryota; Metazoa; Chordata; Actinopteri; Salmoniformes; Salmonidae.
GCUCCGUAUCAUAACAGAUGGGGUCGACCAUUCAUUCAUAGAUUACAAAGCUGAAUUGAACCAGAAGCUGCUGUUUUUUUUCCUUCUUCCCAGUUGUCUGGUUUCUAUCAAUAGUGAAGGAGGCAGUUGAGGGGAAUCUCUUAAGGGACUUCAGUACCAAGUAACCUCCUCCAUUUUGAUAUUCUCUUCCAGUCUGCCUAAUUGAUUUGAUUCUAAGAAGAGGCUGUGUGUUUAUACCCAGGUCUUUAAUUGAUUUGAUUCUAAGACGGGGCUGUGUGUUUAUACCCAGGUCUUUAAUUGAUUUGAUUCUAAGAAGAGGGGCUGUGUGUUUAUACCCAGGUCUUUUAUUGAUUUGAUUCUAAGGGUU